This 75-nucleotide transfer RNA is filed under the name Dehalococcoidia bacterium. RNAcentral's name for it is "tRNA-Val". It matches the Rfam family "tRNA". Rfam says of the family: Transfer RNA (tRNA) molecules are approximately 80 nucleotides in length. Lineage: Bacteria; Bacillati; Chloroflexota; Dehalococcoidia. The record is from RNAcentral.
GGGCGGUUAGCUCAGUUGGCGGAGAGCGCGGCGUUAACAGCGCCGAGGUCGCCGGUUCGAACCCGGUACCGCCCA